This 632-nucleotide ribosomal RNA is filed under the name uncultured bacterium. RNAcentral describes it as "bacterial SSU rRNA". The stretch from base 1 to 535 matches the Rfam family "Bacterial small subunit ribosomal RNA", at positions 338 to 873 of the family's 1533-position model. The record is from RNAcentral.
CCUACGGGAGGCAGCAGUGAGGAAUAUUGGACAAUGGGCGCAAGCCUGAUCCAGCCAUGCCGCGUGCAGGAUGACGGUCCUAUGGAUUGUAAACUGCUUUUGUACAGGAAGAAACCCUUUCACGUGUGGAAGAUUGACGGUACUGUAAGAAUAAGGAUCGGCUAACUCCGUGCCAGCAGCCGCGGUAAUACGGAGGAUCCGAGCGUUAUCCGGAAUCAUUGGGUUUAAAGGGUCCGUAGGCGGUCAAGUAAGUCAGUGGUGAAAGCCCAUCGCUCAACGGUGGAACGGCCAUUGAUACUGCUUGACUUGAAUUAUUAGGAAGUAACUAGAAUAUGUAGUGUAGCGGUGAAAUGCUUAGAGAUUACAUGGAAUACCAAUUGCGAAGGCAGGUUACUACUAAUGGAUUGACGCUGAUGGACGAAAGCGUGGGUAGCGAACAGGAUUAGAUACCCUGGUAGUCCACGCCGUAAACGAUGGAUACUAGCUGUUGGGAGCCAAUCUCNGUGNGUAGACGAAGUAGAGUAAGUAUACCACCGUCGGGUAGGUACGGUUACGUCGAGAAGUAGAAACGUACGAAAGUAAGUAAGUAGACGUGAGAGACGACGACGACGGACGACGACGGAGGGAGGAGG